Molecule: long non-coding RNA, 224 nt
Organism: Lemur catta (Ring-tailed lemur)
Lineage: Eukaryota; Metazoa; Chordata; Mammalia; Primates; Lemuridae
Exons: 3
Source: RefSeq, a predicted model, not a curated record
CCCUGUUCCUGCGGCAAAAGUUAAACUCUUCAUCUUCAAAACGAGAAACAAGGCUGCAUCUUAAAUAACCACCGGCCUCACCCGGGAGGGCCCCCUGGCUGCGCUCCAGCCCCCGUCCGGAUCAGCAGGACAUCAGUGUAUGUCUUGGACCCCCUUCAUACACGUGGAAAUUCUGCCCCCUUGAAGACACCUGGCAGGCUUACGCUCUGCAGCUCCAAGUCCAA